RNAcentral lists this long non-coding RNA (708 nucleotides) under Homo sapiens (human). Its description in RNAcentral is "HSALNT0117193". The record is from RNAcentral. Lineage: Eukaryota; Metazoa; Chordata; Mammalia; Primates; Hominidae.
UGGGCCUGGCUCGCCUCGGGAGCCUCAGGACAGCAGGCAUGGUGAAUGGCGCUCCAAAAUCAGCAAUUAGAUGAUGGUGGUGAGGAGUUAUCGAGGAAAUCAUGGAGGAGGACCCUGACAAAUUACAGCGGCGCUGGAGGACCAGUCCUGAGUUACAGCCGCUGUGGCCUUUCACAUCAGAACUCUGCUCUCCUUACCAGGAAAUGAGAAAUGUGCUGUCAGGAGAAGGGCAGCUGCUGAUCUGUUACAGUGAGGACUCUUUAGAGUCCAGGUUUUCAGCUCCUCGGAGACACAGGCACUGCCCAGUGGUGCUGUUGGCGUCCACAGCGGGGCAUCCUCAUGCCCAGUCCGCCGGGAGACUUCUGCCUUUAUCUGUUUUACACACUGGAUGAACGCAUGGCCUCUCGAAGGGCUGGUUCUGUGUGUCUAAAAACCACUGCUGUGAAGGGUGACCAUUUCGGCAAGGAAGUGCUCUGUUGUGGAACAAUGGCCUCAUCUACUUACUCACGGACGUGGUGUGAGUGUAUUCUGAGCUGCACGGUGCGGACUCAUGUGGAAAGCGGCGUGAUGUCAUCCUCAGGAUCACCUUCCAGGUCAGAGGCAGGAGGUGUAUUCAGUUUAUGAAGUAGUCUGUGGGGCCUCUGAACAAGGCGGGGUCAGGGAAGGUGUUCCCCAGGAGGUGGUCCUGGGGCUGAGCCUUGAAGGAGG